AACGAACGCUGGCGGCAUGCCUAACACAUGCAAGUCGAACGAGACCUUCGGGUCUAGUGGCGCACGGGUGCGUAACGCGUGGGAACCUGCCCUUAGGUUCGGAAUAACUCCCCGAAAGGGGUGCUAAUACCGGAUAAUGUCUUCGGACCAAACAUUUAUCGCCUUUGGAUGGGCCCGCGUUGGAUUAGCUAGUUGGUAGGGUAAAAGCCUACCAAGGCGACGAUCCAUAGCUGGUCUGAGAGGAUGAUCAGCCACACUGGGACUGAGACACGGCCCAGACUCCUACGGGAGGCAGCAGUGGGGAAUAUUGGACAAUGGGCGAAAGCCUGAUCCAGCAAUGCCGCGUGAGUGAUGAAGGCCUUAGGGUUGUAAAGCUCUUUUAACCGGGAUGAUAAUGACAGUACCGGGAGAAUAAGCUCCGGCUAACUCCGUG
RNAcentral lists this ribosomal RNA (433 nucleotides) under uncultured bacterium. RNAcentral describes it as "partial 16S ribosomal RNA". It matches the Rfam family "Bacterial small subunit ribosomal RNA", at positions 29 to 507 of the family's 1533-position model. The record is from RNAcentral.